Molecule: ribosomal RNA, 305 nt
Filed under: uncultured bacterium
Lineage: Bacteria
Description: bacterial SSU rRNA
Rfam family: Bacterial small subunit ribosomal RNA
Source: RNAcentral
UUGUCCUACGGGAGGCAGCAGUGAGGAAUAUUGGUCAAUGGGCGGGAGCCUGAACCAGCCAAGUCGCGUGAGGGAAGACGGUCCUAUGGAUUGUAAACCUCUUUAGGCGGGGAGCAAUGCCGGGCACGCGUGUCCGGAGGGAGAGUACCCGCAGAAUAAGCAUCGGCUAACUCCGUGCCAGCAGCCGCGGUAAUACGGAGGAUGCGAGCGUUAUCCGGAUUUAUUGGGUUUAAAGGGUGCGUAGGCGGUCCGGAAAGUCAGCGGUAAAAGCCCGGGGCUCAACCCCGGCGAGCCGUUGAAACUGU